AGAGAGAGACAUGCGCGCAUAUCAAUAAGCGGAGGAAAAGAAACUAACAAGGAUUCUCUUAGUAACGGCGAGUGAAGCGGGAAGAGCUCAAAUUUGAAAUCUUCAAGGUUUUACCUUGACGAAUUGUAGUUUAAAGAAGUGUUUCUCUGCUGGAAGUUUUGGUAAAAGUUCUUUGGAAUAGGACAUCAUAGAGGGUGAGAAUCCCGUAUUUGACCAUUAUUUUCAGCUUUGUGAUACACUUUCAAAGAGUCGGAUUGUUUGGGAAUGCAGUCCAAAAUGGGUGGUAAAUUUCAUCUAAAGCUAAAUAUUGGCGAGAGACCGAUAGCGAACAAGUACCGUGAGGGAAAGAUGAAAAGAACUUUGAAAAGAGAGUUAAACAGUACGUGAAAUUGUCAAAAGGGAAGCGUUUGACACCAGUGUUGUUUUCUCGAAAAUCAAUUAAAGAAUGGCUCGAUUUUGUAUUGCUUGAGACCUUAAAAGCUCACUGUACAUUUUUCGUGUCUUUUUUUAAUGCACUUUUCGUUUAACAAGUCAACAUCAGUUUCUUUUGUUGUAAAAGGGUCAUUGGAAGGUGGCUUUCUUUUCGGAGAAAGUGUUUAUAGCCUUUGGCCUCUGCAAUCGGAGAGACUGAGGUCUGCAGCGUAGACUCUUCGGGGUUAGAUACAUUUGUGCUAAGUUAUAGCUUUUAUAGACAACUUGUUGACUAUAAUUAGUCAUUGUAGCUUACUCGCUUAUGCUAUUUUACCUACGCUUAGGAUGUUGAAGAUGUAGCACAUCAU
This 779-nucleotide ribosomal RNA is filed under the name uncultured Neocallimastigales. RNAcentral's name for it is "partial large subunit ribosomal RNA". It matches the Rfam family "Eukaryotic large subunit ribosomal RNA", at positions 23 to 620 of the family's 3401-position model. The record is from RNAcentral. Lineage: Eukaryota; Fungi; Neocallimastigomycota; Neocallimastigomycetes; Neocallimastigales.